GACGAACGCUGGCGGCGUGCUUAACACAUGCAAGUCGAACGGAAAGGCCCUGCUUGCAGGGUACUCGAGUGGCGAACGGGUGAGUAACACGUGGGUGAUCUGCCCUGCACUUCGGGAUAAGCCUGGGAAACUGGGUCUAAUACCGGAUAGGAGCCAUUUUUAGUGUGAUGGUUGGAAAGUUUUAUCGGUGUAGGAUGAGCUCGCGGCCUAUCAGCUUGUUGGUGGGGUAAUGGCCUACCAAGGCGGCGACGGGUAGCCGGCCUGAGAGGGUGGACGGCCACAUUGGGACUGGGAUACGGCCCAGACUCCGACGGGAGGCAGCAGUGGGGAAUAUUGCACAAUGGGCGCAAGCCUGAUGCAGCGACGCCGCGUGGGGGAUGACGGCCUUCGGGUUGUAAUCUCCUUUCGCUAGGGACGAAGCUUUUUGUGACGGUACCUAGAUAAGAAGCACCGGCUAACUACGUG
Molecule: ribosomal RNA, 465 nt
Filed under: uncultured bacterium
Lineage: Bacteria
Description: partial 16S ribosomal RNA
Rfam family: Bacterial small subunit ribosomal RNA
Source: RNAcentral